This 405-nucleotide ribosomal RNA is filed under the name uncultured bacterium. Its description in RNAcentral is "bacterial SSU rRNA". It matches the Rfam family "Bacterial small subunit ribosomal RNA", at positions 29 to 417 of the family's 1533-position model. The record is from RNAcentral.
AACGAACGCUGGCGGCGUACCUAACACAUGCAAGUCGUGCGAGAAAGUUCCUUCGGGAGCGAGUAAAGCGGCGCACGGGUGAGUAACACGUAGGUAACCUGCCCCCCAGUCUGGAACAACUAGAGGAAACUCUAGCUAAUGCCGGAUGAGACCACGAUCCCUUCGGGGGUUGCGGCCAAAGAUGGCCUCUACUUGUAAGCUAUCGCUGAGGGAUGGGCCUGCGGGCCAUUAGCUUGUUGGUGAGGUAACGGCUCACCAAGGCUGUGAUGGCUAGCUGGUCUGAGAGGAUGACCAGCCACACUGGGACUGAGACACGGCCCAGACUCCUACGGGAGGCAGCAGUGGGGAAUAUUGCGCAAUGGGCGAAAGCCUGACGCAGCGACGCCGCGUGGGUGAUGAAGGCCU